Diceros bicornis minor is the source of this 2254-nucleotide long non-coding RNA. RefSeq lists it as uncharacterized. The transcript has 4 exons. The record is from RefSeq and is a predicted model, not a curated record. NCBI's taxonomy places the organism in Eukaryota, Metazoa, Chordata, Mammalia, Perissodactyla, Rhinocerotidae.
CCCUCACCGAGAUGCACUCAGGGCCUAUUAGAGAACAAAUGCAUUACUUGGAAACAUGAAAUGUUAACUACAGAAGAGAUCACUCACUUCAAGAAAACCUAUAGUAAAAGAUUCCUGGACUAGAGGACGUAUAAAAUAAAAUUCUCAAAAGCACCUCAGGAAAUAAAGACUUGACUUUUUGAGCUCCUUCUAUCCAUCUGAGAAGAUUAUGGCUCAAGUAGCCAGUGAGCGUUCAGCCUGGACGCUGGAAUAGAGACACAAAGAGCAAAUUUGAACUUUACCUGCAGCCUAGAGCUGAGACUGGCUGAGCCAGCAUACCCAUGAAUGAGAAGUAAUUGAUUAUUGCUUUGUUUCUUUUUAUGACAGCAAAAAUAUAUAUAUGUAUAUAUACUAUAUAUAAAUUUAUAUAUACAUAUAAGUACAUGCAUAUAAAUUAUGUGUCUGUGUGUGUGUGUGUAUAUAUAUAUGUAAUUGUAAUAUAUAAAGCCAUCUCAACGUACCACAGUUGAGCCUUGGAGACCAGAAACAAGAAAUCCUAGUGAUCCAAAUUGCAGCUCUGGUGACUUGGCCUUUUGUUGUCCUCUAGGAAAUGGGAGUCUUAUUCCCUACUGCCUUGACUUCCCCCUUGAUCAUGACUUUGCUUCUCUCUCUAGUCUCAGAUUCUCUUACUUUGUCUGUUUUUGUUUUUAUCACUCCCUCUCUGAGUGUCUUACAUUCAAUUUUCCCUAGAGACUAAGAUUUGAUUGAAUCAAUCAGUUCCUAUGGAAUAUGGAUCAUUUAUCACUCAUGUUGAGCCUAGAGGAGGGUCUUUGCCUAGGAUGUUGAUUCCUCGUCUAAUUCAUUGUGCCUCUUAAUAAGAAUGUCAUAUUAGACAAAACAUGACAUGCUACAUAGAAAUAACUGACUACAAUACGGUUUGAAAACAUCUGCAGAAAGAGGAACUAUGGGAUCUAUGUAAGAGAGACUCCUAACCCAGAUGGAUAGAAAGACAGGGAUCCACAGAAAAUAACUAAACGGUGUCUUGCAUUUCCUUGAAUAUAAAUCACGCUCUUGUUUAGUAGUAAAGUACACAGUGAUCACUUUGAAAGCAUAGAUCAUGGAUAAACAAUUUUCACAUUCCCAGAGCCCAAGUACCUGACACAUAGUAGGUAUUCAUUCAACAUCUGUGGAUGGAAGGGAUGGAAAGAGAGGGAAGAAGUUAGGAUGCAAAAUAAGCAAUUCAUUCUUAAUAAGCCUUUAACAUAGAACUCUCUUACUAAGCCUUUAUGUUUUAUUACUAUAUCGCAAUAUGAUCUUUGGGGAUUCAUUUUAAUUCAUUAUUUCAUUUUUCCACCUUUGAAAUAAUAAUAAUAACUUUUACUUACUCUUCAGAAAUGUCUGAUGAUAUUCAAGGCAAAAAAGAAAUUAUUUUGAGCUCCUUGGGAAGUCUUAUCUAAAUUUUAGGCCACUGAUAUCAGUAGUGUGUUAUAAUUAUUGUUGCUAAGGGGACUUAAAGGACUGUAUAAGUAAAAUCUUCUGAAUUUGUUCAUUUUGCUUGAGUUGGAAUAAAAUGCAAUGAAAAUUUUUCAUUUUUAACCAGAAUGGCUUAAAAAUGAGACUUCUUGGAUUAGAAAGAAAAAAUAACACAGCCCUUGAUAUUACACCUCGACCCAUCAGCAUCCUCUUGCCAUCACUGGCACCAUACUGGACUCUUUUCUGAGUGCAGAGGCAAGUUGUCUGCUGGUUCUUUGGCCUGAAUUGGCCUGUGUCCUUUUGAGGCUCCCUGCCUAAGGACUAUAACUUUGCACAAGAUUAAAUACACAUAUGCAGGGUACCGAACUAAUUCUCUCUUCAUUCCUUGUUUCACAAGUCUAGGAAAAGAUUAGUAAACAUUCCUACUGCUCCACUGUUUCCUAUUAAGAUCACAAAAAGAGGAAAUGAACCAAAAAGUGGUGAUAAAAAAGGUGAUAGCCUAUGGAUAAAUGAGUGAAGAGAAAGGGUGUAUCUCCCUUUAUUCAGGACACACUUCCUACACCAUCCAUAGAGAUUUCUCUCAAUUUUAUGUAAGGGACUUGUGUCAUGAUUAUAUAAAGGCACAAUCAAGGUUACCUUUUUUAAUAAAACAGGUGAUUCUUUUUAUCUGAGUAUAAAUAUUUAAAAAAGAACGUGAAGAAAAGUUGUCAUAUUAUCUUCUAUAUAUAUACUAUACCUUUAGGGUUCACAUGAUUUAUGUAAAAUAGAUGAGACAUUUAAAUGUUUGAAAUUACCUUUACAA